This 965-nucleotide long non-coding RNA is filed under the name Homo sapiens (human). RNAcentral describes it as "HSALNT0356782". Lineage: Eukaryota; Metazoa; Chordata; Mammalia; Primates; Hominidae. The record is from RNAcentral.
ACUAGCCUAGGAUUAAUAUCAGCCCAUUUUUUGGAGGAGAACCAACAAGACUGGCUAUUUGACUGGAUCCCCCAAUUGGUUUACUCCAAGAUUCCUCUUCAUUGGCUUAAGAAGAUACAAGACAGGAGUCUCCAAUCCUUAGACCAUGGACCAAUAUCAACCAUGGCCAGUUAGCAACCCGGUAACAAAGCAGGAGGAAUAUGUUUAAUACUGUUCAAAAGAAGAGAAGGAAAGAAAAGCAAAAAGAACAGAGGAAAAGAAACCCAGAGGCAAGGAAUAAAAAAGUCCUAUACAAAAAGACUCCACCACAAAGAAGAUUGAGAGGCACAAGGAAAAUCAGCCCUGAGAAGUAAAUACUGUUGCUGUCAUCCCUAUUUUACAAAUGAGGAAACAAAAAUAGAGAAAUGAAGCAAUUUGUCCAAGAUCACUCUGCUGGCAAGCAACAGAACCAGGAGUUUAACCCAGAUCAUAGCAGAGAACAAACAAGGAGGAGGAAGAACAGGAGGAGGAGGGGGAAAAGAGGAGGAAGAAGAAAGAAAGAUUAAAGAAGAAGAAAGAAGGAAGGAGGAGGGGAGAAAAAGAAAAUAAUAAUAAUGAUAGUCUCAAUUUUAGACUAUUAUGUACCAUAUUAAGGACUUAACAUUCACUCCCUCACUCAUACAUUUUUUCAAGGUAAAUGUGCUGUUAACCCCAUAGCAUAGACACCUCUGGACUUCUGAAACAGAAUCCUGUGACCACCGUGGAUGAAACAUAGACUCUCAUUAAGCUGCAGUUCCAAUGCCUGAGUAGCGUGAAUUGCUUCUAUGAUAAGGCAUUAUUUAGCCUUUGCCUGAAACAGCCCUAAUGAGAAGGAUCUCGCCACCUCAUGGCAUGGUCCAGUUCAUUUUCAGAAGCUUUCUUUGUAAUCUGUGCUUAUAAAAUUGUUAACAGGGGAUAGCUAAUAAAAUGGCCUCCUAAAAACUCUA